RNAcentral lists this transfer RNA (72 nucleotides) under Ovis aries (sheep). It matches the Rfam family "tRNA". From Rfam's summary of the family: Transfer RNA (tRNA) molecules are approximately 80 nucleotides in length. The record is from Rfam by way of RNAcentral. Lineage: Eukaryota; Metazoa; Chordata; Mammalia; Artiodactyla; Bovidae.
UCCCUGGUGGCUCAGAUGGUAAAGAAUCUGCCUGCAAUGCAGGAGAUCCAGGUUUGAUCCCUGGGUCGGGAC